Molecule: ribosomal RNA, 252 nt
Filed under: Photobacterium phosphoreum
Lineage: Bacteria; Pseudomonadati; Pseudomonadota; Gammaproteobacteria; Vibrionales; Vibrionaceae
Description: partial 23S ribosomal RNA
Rfam family: Bacterial large subunit ribosomal RNA
Source: RNAcentral
GUGGACGAACCGCUGGUGUUCGGGUUGUAUCGCCAGAUGCAUUGCCCGGUAGCUAAGUUCGGAAUCGAUAACCGCUGAAAGCAUCUAAGCGGGAAGCGAGCCUCAAGAUGAGUCAUCCCUAGACCUUUAAGGUCUCUAAAGGGUUGUUGAAGACUACAACGUUGAUAGGUCAGGUGUGUAAGUGCUGCGAGGCAUUGAGCUAACUGAUACUAAUUGCCCGUGAGGCUUAACCAUACAACACCCAAGGGGUUU